UUUUUUUUUCCUUGGGGAUUCUCCUUUCUCCUGCCAAACUGACUUGCACCUUCUCGAUAAUUUCUCUUCCCCUCGUUUUUUAUACUCUUCUCCCUGCUUCCAAACCCUGUGUCUGUGUGUUUCAGUACUAUCACAACCUCUGCUAAAAAUAGAUCUUUUUAUAUACCCUUCCUCCUCUCUGACCCCAUCCAACACCCCUUGUUAAGGGAACCGUCUUAAACCCAGGGCAAGAAACGUAAAGUCAUUUGGCUGUCCCUUAUCUCUAAGGGCACCUGAUGCAUAAGUGGACUAGAGAAAGGAAAGAAAGAAAAACCUCCAAAGACCUACAGAUCAUCUUGCUGGCAGGCAGGUCAAGCUUUCUAUGGAUUAAGGCAGAAUUGUGGCUCACAGAGAUGGAAUGUGAUUGGUAUUUUCAGCAGCAUUUUCAUGUCCCAGAAAAACUGCAGCAACUGAACAAAGGGAGCGUCCUUCUGAGUUGUGCUUUGAGCUGCUCAGUAAGUACAACACUUCACGAUACUCAUUGUCAUCUGGAGCUCCUCUCCACACACUGGCUGGGCAGUACCAAGGACUUGGAGAUGUUUUCUGUCUCUGAGAACAGGAUGUGUGGGGAUAUUCUCCAUAAGUGA
This 626-nucleotide long non-coding RNA is filed under the name Meleagris gallopavo (turkey). RNAcentral's name for it is "lncRNA (ENSMGAG00000021230.1)". The record is from RNAcentral. Lineage: Eukaryota; Metazoa; Chordata; Aves; Galliformes; Phasianidae.